GUGUUUCUGGGGUGUUUUUGGGGUGCAUUUCUGGUCUCUCCUGACCCGUUUUCCCCCCUGCCCAGCCCAAGGUGGUGUGGCUGAAGAACCAGGUUUUGGGGUCACCUUGUGGGGUGUUUUUGGGGUGGAUUUGGGGGUCCCCCAACCCAUUCUCCCCAUCCCAAUGGGGCUGUGGGUUCACCCCGAGGUGUGGGUGUUUCUGGGGUGUUUUUGGGGUGCAUUUCUGGUCCCUCCUGACCCGUUUUCCCCCCUGCCCAGCCCAAGGUGGUGUGGCUGAAGAACCAGAUGGCCAUCGGGGACGACCCGCGGUUCCUGGCCCGGCACAGCCAGGGGGUCCUGACCCUGCUCAUCCGCAAGCCGGGCCCCUUCGACGGCGGCACCUACGGCUGCAGGGCCAGCAACGAGCUGGGGGAGGCCCUGACCGAGUGCAGGCUCGAGAUCCGCGUAGUGCCCCAGUGACGGAGACACAGGAUGGCUGCCCACGGUGGGGAGGAAGAAGAGGGUGAAGGCCCCCAGAGCCCCCCAAAAAUAAAGAGUUUCAGCAGCCCCCAAAAAUAAA
Molecule: long non-coding RNA, 559 nt
Organism: Pipra filicauda (Wire-tailed manakin)
Lineage: Eukaryota; Metazoa; Chordata; Aves; Passeriformes; Pipridae
Exons: 4
Source: RefSeq, a predicted model, not a curated record